This 325-nucleotide ribosomal RNA is filed under the name uncultured eukaryote. Its description in RNAcentral is "partial 18S ribosomal RNA". It matches the Rfam family "Eukaryotic small subunit ribosomal RNA", at positions 1470 to 1796 of the family's 1831-position model. The record is from RNAcentral.
CCCUUAGAUGUUCUGGGCCGCACGCGCGCUACACUGAUGCACUCAACGAGCCUAUCCUUGACCGACAGGUCCGGGUAAUCUUUGAAUCUGCAUCGUGACGGGGAUAGAUUAUUGCAAUUAUUAAUCUUCAACGAGGAAUGCCUAGUAGGCGCAAGUCAUCAGCUUGCGUCGAUUACGUCCCUGCCCUUUGUACACACCGCCCGUCGCUCCUACCGAUUGGGUGUGCUGGUGAAAUGUUCGGAUCGGCCGUUUGUCGCGGUUUCCGCGUCAUGUGGCUGAGAAGUUCAUUAAACCCUCCCACCUAGAGGAAGGAGAAGUCGUAACA